RNAcentral lists this transfer RNA (65 nucleotides) under chicken gut metagenome. It matches the Rfam family "tRNA", at positions 5 to 66 of the family's 71-position model. From Rfam's summary of the family: Transfer RNA (tRNA) molecules are approximately 80 nucleotides in length. Their secondary structure includes four short double-helical elements and three loops (D, anti-codon, and T loops). The record is from RNAcentral.
UCGUGGCCAAGUUGGUUAAGGCGCUGGACUGCAAAUCCAGUAUCGUAGGUUCAAAUCCUACCGAG